GGGUUGUGAGGUUAAGCGACUAAGCGUACACGGUGGAUGCCCUGGCAGUCAGAGGCGAUGAAGGACGUGCUAAUCUGCGAAAAGCGUCGGUAAGGUGAUAUGAACCGUUACAGCCGGCGAUGUCCGAAUGGGGAAACCCAGUGCAAUUCGUUGCACUAUCGUUAACUGAAUACAUAGGUUAACGAGGCGAACCGGGGGAACUGAAACAUCUAAGUACCCCGAGGAAAAGAAAUCAACCGAGAUUCCCCCAGUAGCGGCGAGCGAACGGGGAGCAGCCCAGAGUCUGAAUCAGCUUGUGUGUUAGUGGAACGGUCUGGAAAGUCCGACGGUACAGGGUGAUAGUCCCGUACACCAAAAUGCACAGGUUGUGAACUCGAAGAGUAGGGCGGGACACGUGGUAUCCUGUCUGAAUAUGGGGGGACCAUCCUCCAAGGCUAAAUACUCCUGACUGACCGAUAGUGAACCAGUACCGUGAGGGAAAGGCGAAAAGAACCCCGGCGAGGGGAGUGAAAAAGAACCUGAAACCGUGUACGUACAAGCAGUGGGAGCACCUUCGGGUGUGACUGCGUACCUUUUGUAUAAUGGGUCAGCGACUUAUAUUCUGUAGCAAGGUUAACCGUAUAGGGGAGCCGCAGGGAAACCGAGUCUUAACUGGGCGUUAAGUUGCAGGGUAUAGACCCGAAACCCGGUGAUCUAGCCAUGGGCAGGUUGAAGGUUGGGUAACACUAACUGGAGGACCGAACCGACUAAUGUUGAAAAAUUAGCGGAUGACUUGUGGCUGGGGGUGAAAGGCCAAUCAAACCGGGAGAUAGCUGGUUCUCCCCGAAAGCUAUUUAGGUAGCGCCUCGUGAACUCAUCUUCGGGGGUAGAGCACUGUUUCGGCUAGGGGGUCAUCCCGACUUACCAACCCGAUGCAAACUACGAAUACCGAAGAAUGUUAUCACGGGAGACACACGGCGGGUGCUAACGUCCGUCGUGAAGAGGGAAACAACCCAGACCGCCAGCUAAGGUCCCAAAGUCAUGGUUAAGUGGGAAACGAUGUGGGAAGGCACAGACAGCCAGGAUGUUGGCUUAGAAGCAGCCAUCAUUUAAAGAAAGCGUAAUAGCUCACUGGUCGAGUCGGCCUGCGCGGAAGAUGUAACGGGGCUAAACCAUGCACCGAAGCUGCGGCAGCGACACUAUGUGUUGUUGGGUAGGGGAGCGUUCUGUAAGCCUGCGAAGGUGUGCUGUGAGGCAUGCUGGAGGUAUCAGAAGUGCGAAUGCUGACAUAAGUAACGAUAAAGCGGGUGAAAAGCCCGCUCGCCGGAAGACCAAGGGUUCCUGUCCAACGUUAAUCGGGGCAGGGUGAGUCGACCCCUAAGGCGAGGCCGAAAGGCGUAGUCGAUGGGAAACAGGUUAAUAUUCCUGUACUUGGUGUUACUGCGAAGGGGGGACGGAGAAGGCUAUGUUAGCCGGGCGACGGUUGUCCCGGUUUAAGCAUGUAGGCUGAUUGUCCAGGCAAAUCCGGAUAAUCAAGGCUGAGGUGUGAUGACGAGGCACUACGGUGCUGAAGUAACAAAUGCCCUGCUUCCAGGAAAAGCCUCUAAGCAUCAGGUAACAUCAAAUCGUACCCCAAACCGACACAGGUGGUCAGGUAGAGAAUACCAAGGCGCUUGAGAGAACUCGGGUGAAGGAACUAGGCAAAAUGGUGCCGUAACUUCGGGAGAAGGCACGCUGGUGUGUAGGUGAAGUCCCUGCGGAUGGAGCUGAGACCAGUCGAAGAUACCAGCUGGCUGCAACUGUUUAUUAAAAACACAGCACUGUGCAAACACGAAAGUGGACGUAUACGGUGUGACGCCUGCCCGGUGCCGGAAGGUUAAUUGAUGGGGUUAUCCGUAAGGAGAAGCUCUUGAUCGAAGCCCCGGUAAACGGCGGCCGUAACUAUAACGGUCCUAAGGUAGCGAAAUUCCUUGUCGGGUAAGUUCCGACCUGCACGAAUGGCGUAAUGAUGGCCAGGCUGUCUCCACCCGAGACUCAGUGAAAUUGAACUCGCUGUGAAGAUGCAGUGUACCCGCGGCAAGACGGAAAGACCCCGUGAACCUUUACUAUAGCUUGACACUGAACAUUGAGCCUUGAUGUGUAGGAUAGGUGGGAGGCUUUGAAGCGUGGACGCCAGUCUGCGUGGAGCCAACCUUGAAAUACCACCCUUUAAUGUUUGAUGUUCUAACGUUGGCCCCUUACCGGGGUUGCGGACAGUGUCUGGUGGGUAGUUUGACUGGGGCGGUCUCCUCCCAAAGCGUAACGGAGGAGCACGAAGGUUAGCUAAUCCUGGUCGGACAUCAGGAGGUUAGUGCAAUGGCAUAAGCUAGCUUGACUGCGAGCGUGACGGCGCGAGCAGGUGCGAAAGCAGGUCAUAGUGAUCCGGUGGUUCUGAAUGGAAGGGCCAUCGCUCAACGGAUAAAAGGUACUCCGGGGAUAACAGGCUGAUACCGCCCAAGAGUUCAUAUCGACGGCGGUGUUUGGCACCUCGAUGUCGGCUCAUCACAUCCUGGGGCUGAAGUAGGUCCCAAGGGUAUGGCUGUUCGCCAUUUAAAGUGGUACGCGAGCUGGGUUUAGAACGUCGUGAGACAGUUCGGUCCCUAUCUGCCGUGGGCGCUGGAGAAUUGAGGGGGGCUGCUCCUAGUACGAGAGGACCGGAGUGGACGCAUCACUGGUGUUCGGGUUGUCAUGCCAAUGGCACUGCCCGGUAGCUAAAUGCGGAAGAGAUAAGUGCUGAAAGCAUCUAAGCACGAAACUUGCCCCGAGAUGAGUUCUCCCUGAGACUUUAAGUCUCCUGAAGGAACGUUAAAGACGAUGACGUUGAUAGGCCGGGUGUGUAAGCGCAGCGAUGCGUUGAGCUAACCGGUACUAAUGAACCGUGAGGCUUAACCUUACAACGCCGAAG
RNAcentral lists this ribosomal RNA (2923 nucleotides) under Klebsiella pneumoniae. RNAcentral's name for it is "bacterial LSU rRNA". It matches the Rfam family "Bacterial large subunit ribosomal RNA". The record is from RNAcentral. Lineage: Bacteria; Pseudomonadati; Pseudomonadota; Gammaproteobacteria; Enterobacterales; Enterobacteriaceae.